GGGAGGACAGGAGAAUAGGGAACGGAGUGCGAGUCUCCGACAGGACCGCUGCUGUGAGGCGGAGCCAGGGCCAUGACCAUUGAUCGCGGGAUCGAGAAGGGGCCGGAGCGAUGAAACCGAGUCAGAAGACCUGCCUGUGAAAAU
This 144-nucleotide non-coding RNA is filed under the name bovine gut metagenome. The record is from RNAcentral.